AGAGUUUGAUCCUGGCUCAGAGCGAACGCUGGCGGCAGGCCUAACACAUGCAAGUCGAACGAAUCCUUCGGGAUUAGUGGCGGACGGGUGAGUAACACGUGGGAACGUGCCCUUUGGUUCGGAACAACUCAGGGAAACUUGAGCUAAUACCGGAUGUGCCCUUCGGGGGAAAGAUUUAUCGCCAUUGGAGCGGCCCGCGUAGGAUUAGCUAGUUGGUGGGGUAGAGGCCCACCAAGGCUUCGAUCCUUAGCUGGUCUGAGAGGAUGAUCAGCCACACUGGGACUGAGACACGGCCCAGACUCCUACGGGAGGCAGCAGUGGGGAAUCUUGCGCAAUGGGCGAAAGCCUGACGCAGCCAUGCCGCGUGAAUGAUGAAGGUCUUAGGAUUGUAAAAUUCUUUCACCGGGGACGAUAAUGACGGUACCCGGAGAAGAAGCCCCGGCUAACUUCGUGCCAGCAGCCGCGGUAAUACGAAGGGGGCUAGCGUUGCUCGGAAUUACUGGGCGUAAAGGGAGCGUAGGCGGACUGUUUAGUCAGAGGUGAAAGCCCAGGGCUCAACCUUGGAAUAGCCUUUGAUACUGGCAGUCUUGAGUACGGAAGAGGUAUGUGGAACUCCGAGUGUAGAGGUGAAAUUCGUAGAUAUUCGGAAGAACACCAGUGGCGAAGGCGACAUACUGGUCCGUUACUGACGCUGAGGCUCGAAAGCGUGGGGAGCAAACAGGAUUAGAUACCCUGGUAGUCCACGCCGUAAACGUUGGGCGCUAGGUGUAACCGGACUCAACCCUGGUUGUGCCGAAGCUAACGCGAUAAGUAUACCGCCUGGGGAGUACGCUCGCAAGGGUGAAACUCAAAAGAAUUGACGGGGACCCGCACAAGCAGUGGAGCAUGUGGUUUAAUUCGAUCCACGCGAAGAACCUUACCCAGACUUGACAAGCAGUGGACGAUAUCAGAAAUGAUAUUUCCCUUCGGGGCCGCUGCACAGGUGCUGCAUGGCUGUCGUCAGCUCGUGCCGUGAGGUGUUGGGUUAAGUCCCGCAACGAGCGCAACCCUUAUCAUUAGUUGCCAGCACGUAAUGGUGGGAACUCUAAUGAGACUGCCUGGGUUAACCAGGAGGAAGGUGAGGAUGACGUCAAGUCCGCAUGGCCCUUAUGUCUGGGGCUACACACGUGCUACAAUGGCCGGUACAGAAGGCAGCGAAACUGUGAAGUGAAGCAAAUCCCAAAAACCGGCCCCAGUUCAGAUUGUAGUCUGCAACUCGACUACAUGAAGUUGGAAUUGCUAGUAAUGGCGAGUCAGCAACAUCGCCGUGAAUACGUUCCCGGGUCUUGUACACACCGCCCGUCACAUCAUGGGAGUUGGUUUUACCCGAAGCCGCUGGCUUAACCGCAAGGGAAGAGGCGUCUAAGGUGAGGCUGAUGACUGGGAUGAAGUCGGAACAAGGUA
This 1443-nucleotide ribosomal RNA is filed under the name metagenome. Its description in RNAcentral is "bacterial SSU rRNA". It matches the Rfam family "Bacterial small subunit ribosomal RNA". The record is from RNAcentral.